AGCGCCGAUGGUAGUUGGGGCUUUGCCCCUGCGAGAGUAGGACGCCGCCAGGC
This 53-nucleotide ribosomal RNA is filed under the name Oceanobacillus limi. The record is from RNAcentral. Lineage: Bacteria; Bacillati; Bacillota; Bacilli; Caryophanales; Bacillaceae.